Molecule: non-coding RNA, 46 nt
Organism: Trichobilharzia regenti
Lineage: Eukaryota; Metazoa; Platyhelminthes; Trematoda; Strigeidida; Schistosomatidae
Source: Rfam
GUACUGCUGAAGAGUCCCACAUUAGGACGAAACAGCCGUCCAGUAC